GGGGAUUUAGCUCAGUGGUAGAGCACUUGCCUAGCACGCACAAGGCCCUGGGUUCAGUCCCCAGCUCCG
RNAcentral lists this transfer RNA (69 nucleotides) under Rattus norvegicus (Norway rat). It matches the Rfam family "tRNA". Rfam says of the family: Transfer RNA (tRNA) molecules are approximately 80 nucleotides in length. Their secondary structure includes four short double-helical elements and three loops (D, anti-codon, and T loops). Further hydrogen bonds mediate the characteristic L-shaped molecular structure. tRNAs have two regions of fundamental functional importance: the anti-codon, which is responsible for specific mRNA codon recognition, and the 3' end, to which the tRNAs corresponding amino acid is attached (by aminoacyl-tRNA synthetases). tRNAs cope with the degeneracy of the genetic code in two manners: having more than one tRNA (with a specific anti-codon) for a particular amino acid; and 'wobble' base-pairing, i.e. permitting non-standard base-pairing at the 3rd anti-codon position. The record is from Rfam by way of RNAcentral. Lineage: Eukaryota; Metazoa; Chordata; Mammalia; Rodentia; Muridae.